RNAcentral lists this ribosomal RNA (422 nucleotides) under uncultured bacterium. Its description in RNAcentral is "bacterial SSU rRNA". It matches the Rfam family "Bacterial small subunit ribosomal RNA", at positions 356 to 795 of the family's 1533-position model. The record is from RNAcentral.
GGGGAAUCUUCCGCAAUGGGCGAAAGCGUGACGGAGCAAUGCCGCGUGCAGGAUGAAGCGUCUACGACGUGUAAACUGCUGUCAGGGACUAGGAACCAUGACCAGUCCCAGAGGAAGGGCCGGCUAAUCUCGUGCCAGCAGCCGCGGUAAUACGAAGGGCCCGAGCGUUAAUCGGAAUCACUGGGCUUAAAGGGUGCGUAGGCGGAUGUGCCAGUGUCUUGUGAAAUCCCACAGCUCAACUGUGGAACUGCGGGGCAUACUGCACAUCUUGAGGUCGGUAGAGGUUGCCGGAACUGUAGGUGUAGCGGUGAAAUGCGUAGAUAUCUACAGGAACGCCAAAGGAGAAGUCAGGCAACUGGGCCGAUUCUGACGCUGAGGCACGAAAGCGUGGGGAGCAAACAGGAUUAGAUACCCUGGUAGUC